This 439-nucleotide ribosomal RNA is filed under the name uncultured bacterium. RNAcentral's name for it is "bacterial SSU rRNA". It matches the Rfam family "Bacterial small subunit ribosomal RNA", at positions 958 to 1398 of the family's 1533-position model. The record is from RNAcentral.
AACGCGAAGAACCUUACCCAGACUUGACAUGCAUUGGACGACAGUAGAAAUAUUGUUUCCCUUCGGGGCCGGUGCACAGGUGCUGCAUGGCUGUCGUCAGCUCGUGCCGUGAGGUGUUGGGUUAAGUCCCGCAACGAGCGCAACCCUUAUCAUUAGUUGCCAACAUUUAAGGUGGGAACUCUAAUGAGACUGCCUGGGUUAACCAGGAGGAAGGUGAGGAUGACGUCAAGUCCGCAUGGCCCUUAUGUCUGGGGCUACACACGUGCUACAAUGGUCGGUACAGAAGGCAGCGAAGCCGCGAGGUGGAGCAAAUCCCAAAAGCCGAUCUCAGUUCAGAUUGUAGUCUGCAACUCGACUACAUGAAGACGGAAUUGCUAGUAAUGGCGUAUCAGCUACAACGCCGUGAAUACGUUCCUGGGCCUUGUACACACCGCUCGUC